GGUAACGGCUCACCCAGACAACGAUGUCUAGGGGUUCUGAGAGGAUUGUCCCCCACACUGGUACUGAGACACGGACCAGACUCCUACGGGAGGCAGCAGUGAGGAAUAUUGGUCAAUGGGCGAGAGCCUGAACCAGCCAUGCCGCGUGCAGGAUGAAUGCGCUAUGCGUUGUAAACUGCUUUUCUACAGGAAGAAACCUACCCUCGUGAGGGUAGCUGCCGGUACUGUAGGAAUAAGCACCGGCUAACUCCGUGCCAGCAGCCGCGGUAAUACGGAGGGUGCAAGCGUUAUCCGGAUUUAUUGGGUUUAAAGGGUGCGUAGGCGGAAUAAUAAGUCAGUGGUGAAAUCCUGCGGCUCAACCGUAGAACUGCCAUUGAUACUGUUAUUCUUGAAUAUAGUUGAGGUAGGCGGAAUGUGUAAUGUAGCGGUGAAAUGCUUAGAUAUUACACAGAACACCGAUUGCGAAGGCAGCUUGCUAAACUAUUACUGACGCUGAUGCACGAAAGCGUGGGGAGCGAACAGGAUUAGAUACCCUGGUAGUCCACGCUGUAAACGAUGAUCACUCGUUGUUUGCGAUAUAUUGUAAGCGACUGAGCGAAAGCAUUAAGUGAUCCACCUGGGGAGUACGUUCGCAAGAAUGAAACUCAAAGGAAUUGACGGGGGCCCGCACAAGCGGAGGAACAUGUGGUUUAAUUCGAUGAUACGCGAGGAACCUUACCUGGGUUUAAAUGUAGGUUGCAUGAGUGGGAAACUACUCUUUCCUUCGGGACUACUUACAAGGUGCUGCAUGGUUGUCGUCAGCUCGUGCCGUGAGGUGUCGGGUUAAGUCCCAUAACGAGCGCAACCCCUAUCGUUAGUUGCCAGCAAGUAAAGUUGGGGACACUAACGAGACUGCCGGUGUAAACCGAGAGGAAGGUGGGGAUGACGUCAAAUCAGCACGGCCCUUAUAUCCAGGGCUACACACGUGUUACAAUGGUCGAUACAAAGAGCAGCCACUUGGUGACAAGGCGCUAAUCUCAAAAGUCGAUCACAGUUCGGAUCGAAGUCUGCAACUCGACUUCGUGAAGUUGGAUUCGCUAGUAAUCGCGCAUCAGCCACGGCGCGGUGAAUACGUUCCCGGGCCUUGUACACACCGCCCGUCAAGCCAUGGAAGCUGGGGGUGCCUGAAGUCCGUAACCGUAAGGAGCGGCCUAAGGUAAAACUAGUGACUGGGGCUAAGUCGAAACAAGGUA
RNAcentral lists this ribosomal RNA (1232 nucleotides) under metagenome. Its description in RNAcentral is "bacterial SSU rRNA". It matches the Rfam family "Bacterial small subunit ribosomal RNA", at positions 256 to 1498 of the family's 1533-position model. The record is from RNAcentral.